RNAcentral lists this ribosomal RNA (468 nucleotides) under uncultured bacterium. Its description in RNAcentral is "partial 16S ribosomal RNA". It matches the Rfam family "Bacterial small subunit ribosomal RNA", at positions 28 to 507 of the family's 1533-position model. The record is from RNAcentral.
GACGAACGCUGGCGGCGUGCUUAACACAUGCAAGUCGAACGGAAAGGCCCGGCGUUUGUGGGGUGCUCGAGUGGCGAACGGGUGAGUAACACGUGAGUAACCUGCCCUUGACUUUGGGAGAACUUCAGGAAACUGGGGCUAAUACCGGAGAGGAGCUCCUGCUGCAUGGUGGGGGUUGGAAAGUGUCGGCGGUUGUGGAUGGACUCGCGGCUUAUCAGCUUGUUGGUGGGGUAGUUGCUUACCAAGGCUUUGACGGGUAGCCUGCCUGGGAGGGUGAACGGCCACAUUGGGACUGAGAGACGGCCCAGAAUCCUAUGGGAGGCAGCAGUGGGAAGUAUUGCACAAUGGGCCGACGCGUGAUGCAGAAGCGUCGCGUGCGGGAUGACGGCCUUCGGGGUGUGAACCGCUUUCGCCUGUGACGAAGAGUGAGUGACGGUAAUGAGUAAAGAAGCAACGGCUAACUACGUG